AGAGUUUGAUCAUGGCUCAGAUUGAACGCUGGCGGCAGGCCUAACACAUGCAAGUCGAACGGUAACAGGAAGCAGCUUGCUGCUUCGCUGACGAGUGGCGGACGGGUGAGUAAUGUCUGGGAAACUGCCUGAUGGAGGGGGAUAACUACUGGAAACGGUAGCUAAUACCGCAUAAUGUCGCAAGACCAAAGAGGGGGACCUUCGGGCCUCUUGCCAUCGGAUGUGCCCAGAUGGGAUUAGCUUGUUGGUGGGGUAACGGCUCACCAAGGCGACGAUCCCUAGCUGGUCUGAGAGGAUGACCAGCCACACUGGAACUGAGACACGGUCCAGACUCCUACGGGAGGCAGCAGUGGGGAAUAUUGCACAAUGGGCGCAAGCCUGAUGCAGCCAUGCCGCGUGUAUGAAGAAGGCCUUCGGGUUGUAAAGUACUUUCAGCGGGGAGGAAGGGAGUAAAGUUAAUACCUUUGCUCAUUGACGUUACCCGCAGAAGAAGCACCGGCUAACUCCGUGCCAGCAGCCGCGGUAAUACGGAGGGUGCAAGCGUUAAUCGGAAUUACUGGGCGUAAAGCGCACGCAGGCGGUUUGUUAAGUCAGAUGUGAAAUCCCCGGGCUCAACCUGGGAACUGCAUCUGAUACUGGCAAGCUUGAGUCUCGUAGAGGGGGGUGGAAUUCCAGGUGUAGCGGUGAAAUGCGUAGAGAUCUGGAGGAAUACCGGUGGCGAAGGCGGCCCCCUGGACGAAGACUGACGCUCAGGUGCGAAAGCGUGGGGAGCAAACAGGAUUAGAUACCCUGGUAGUCCACGCCGUAAACGAUGUCGACUUGGAGGUUGUGCCCUUGAGGCGUGGCUUCCGGAGCUAACGCGUUAAGUCGACCGCCUGGGGAGUACGGCCGCAAGGUUAAAACUCAAAUGAAUUGACGGGGGCCCGCACAAGCGGUGGAGCAUGUGGUUUAAUUCGAUGCAACGCGAAGAACCUUACCUGGUCUUGACAUCCACGGAAGUUUUCAGAGAUGAGAAUGUGCCUUCGGGAACCGUGAGACAGGUGCUGCAUGGCUGUCGUCAGCUCGUGUUGUGAAAUGUUGGGUUAAGUCCCGCAACGAGCGCAACCCUUAUCCUUUGUUGCCAGCGGUCCGGCCGGGAACUCAAAGGAGACUGCCAGUGAUAAACUGGAGGAAGGUGGGGAUGACGUCAAGUCAUCAUGGCCCUUACGACCAGGGCUACACACGUGCUACAAUGGCGCAUACAAAGAGAAGCGACCUCGCGAGAGCAAGCGGACCUCAUAAAGUGCGUCGUAGUCCGGAUUGGAGUCUGCAACUCGACUCCAUGAAGUCGGAAUCGCUAGUAAUCGUGGAUCAGAAUGCCACGGUGAAUACGUUCCCGGGCCUUGUACACACCGCCCGUCACACCAUGGGAGUGGGUUGCAAAAGAAGUAGGUAGCUUAACCUUCGGGAGGGCGCUUACCACUUUGUGAUUCAUGACUGGGGUGAAGUCGUAACAAGGUAACCGUAGGGGAACCUGCGGUUGGAUCACCU
RNAcentral lists this ribosomal RNA (1530 nucleotides) under Escherichia coli. RNAcentral describes it as "bacterial SSU rRNA". It matches the Rfam family "Bacterial small subunit ribosomal RNA". Lineage: Bacteria; Pseudomonadati; Pseudomonadota; Gammaproteobacteria; Enterobacterales; Enterobacteriaceae. The record is from RNAcentral.